CAACCUGCCGCUUACUCGGGGAUAGCCUUUCGAAAGAAAGAUUAAUACCCGAUGGUAUAAAGAGUUCGCAUGUUCUCUUUAUUAAUGAAUUUCGGUAAGCGAUGGGGAUGCGUUCCAUUAGAUAGUUGGCGGGGUAACGGCCCACCAAGUCUACGAUGGAUAGGGGUUCUGAGAGGAAGGUCCCCCACAUUGGAACUGAGACACGGUCCAAACUCCUACGGGAGGCAGCAGUGAGGAAUAUUGGUCAAUGGACGAGAGUCUGAACCAGCCAAGUAGCGUGAAGGAUGACUGCCCUAUGGGUUGUAAACUUCUUUUAUAAGGGAAUAAAGUGAGGGACGUGUCCCUUUUUGUAUGUACCUUAUGAAUAAGGAUCGGCUAACUCCGUGCCAGCAGCCGCGGUAAUACGGAGGAUCCAAGCGUUAUCCGGAUUUAUUGGGUUUAAAGGGAGCGUAGGUUGACAUAUAAGUCAGCUGUGAAAGUUUACGGCUCAACCGUGUAAUUGCAGUUGAUACUGUAUGUCUUGAGUGUACAAGAGGUGGGCGGAAUUCGUGGUGUAGCGGUGAAAUGCUUAGGUAUCACGAAGAACUCCGAUUG
Molecule: ribosomal RNA, 594 nt
Filed under: uncultured Bacteroidota bacterium
Lineage: Bacteria; Pseudomonadati; Bacteroidota
Description: bacterial SSU rRNA
Rfam family: Bacterial small subunit ribosomal RNA
Source: RNAcentral